This 759-nucleotide ribosomal RNA is filed under the name uncultured Planctomycetaceae bacterium. Its description in RNAcentral is "bacterial SSU rRNA". It matches the Rfam family "Bacterial small subunit ribosomal RNA", at positions 8 to 796 of the family's 1533-position model. Lineage: Bacteria; Pseudomonadati; Planctomycetota; Planctomycetia; Planctomycetales; Planctomycetaceae. The record is from RNAcentral.
AGAGUUUGAUCAUGGCUCAGCCUGAACGCUGGCGGCGUGGCUAAGACAUGCAAGUCGCACGGGGUAGCAAUACCCAGUGGCGAACGGGAGAGUAAUGAAUCGCUAAUGUACCCCGGACUCUGGGAUAGCUGCCCGAAAGGGCAGGUAAUACCAGAUGAUAUAACUUUUAGGCAUCUAAGAGUUCUCAAAGGUCCGCCGGUCUGGGAGCAGGCGAUUUCGUAUCAGCUAGUUGGUGAGGUAACGGCCUACCAAGCCUUCGACGCCUAGCCGGACUGAGAGGUCGGUCGGCCACAUCGGGACUGAGACACUGCCCGGACUCCUACGGGGGGCUGCAGUAAUGAAUCUUCCCCAAUGCACGAAAGUGUGAGGGAGCGACGCCGCGUGUGGGACGAAGUCCUUCGGGAUGUAAACCACUGUCAGGGGAUACCAAGUUCUGAGGAUCCCCAGAGGAAGGGGCGGCUAACUCUGUGCCAGCAGCCGCGGUAAGACAGAGGCCCCAAGCGUUAGGCGGAAUCACUGGGCUUAAAGCGUGUGUAGGCGGAUCGUUAAGUGUCUUGUGAAAUCCCACGGCUCACCCGUGGAACUGCUGGGCAUACUGGCGAUCUUGGGCCAACUAGGGGCAGUCGGAACAAGCGGUGGAGCGGUGAAAUGCGUAGAUAUCGCUUGGAACGCCGAAGGUGAAAACAGACUGCUGGGGUUGCGCCGACGCUGAGACACGAAAGCCAGGGGAGCAAACGGGAUUAGAUACCCCCGUAGUCC